CCUACGGGAGGCUGCAGUGGGGAAUAUUGGGCAAUGGGCGCAAGCCUGACCCAGCAACGCCGCGUGAAGGAAGAAGGCCUUCGGGUUGUAAACUUCUUUUCGCAGGGACGAAGCAAGUGACGGUACCUGCGGAAUAAGUCUCGGCUAACUACGAGCCAGCCGCCGCGGUAAUACGGAGGGGGCAAGCGUUAUCCGGAUUUACUGGGUGUAAAGGGCGUGUAGGCGGGUAUGCAAGUCAGAUGUGAAAACCCGGGGCUCAAACUGGGACCUGCAUUUGAAACUGGUGGUCUUGAGUACUGGAGAGGCAGACGGAAUUCCUGGUGUAGCGGUGAAAUGCGUAGAUAUUAGGAGGAACACCGGUGGCGAAGGCGGUCUGCUGGACAGCAACUGACGCUGAGGCGCGAAAGCGUGGGGAGCAAACAGGAUUAGAUACCCCUGUAGUC
Molecule: ribosomal RNA, 443 nt
Filed under: uncultured bacterium
Lineage: Bacteria
Description: partial 16S ribosomal RNA
Rfam family: Bacterial small subunit ribosomal RNA
Source: RNAcentral